UGGGAAAAAGAAGCCCAUUUGCUCAGAUUGCAUUCUAUUAUUUAUAUAAGAUGACAAACAAUAUGGUAAUCGCCUACUUCAACAGUAGUAGUCCAUGUUUGGCCUCUACUUCUAAGAAUUCUAAUAGUACCAAUUACCCUCCACUACUUAUAUUGUUACAACAGCCAUAUCGCAUAUCGUCUAUCAGAUUGAUAGAAAGUUUCAUGCUCUAUCGGCCUCAUCAUAAGUAAUCUUCAUUUAGUUUGCCCGUAAUAGUUUACAUCGGUCGUCUCUCUUUACUUAGUUUGUCAAACAAUCCUCAUGCUGAGGUAUCCUCAAA
This 319-nucleotide long non-coding RNA is filed under the name Phoenix dactylifera (date palm). RNAcentral describes it as "long non-coding RNA (PDAC_LNC005738)". Lineage: Eukaryota; Viridiplantae; Streptophyta; Magnoliopsida; Arecales; Arecaceae. The record is from RNAcentral.